UCGGGAAUUUUGGGCAAUGGGCGAAAGCCUGACCCAGCAACGCCGCGUGAAGGAUGAAGUAUUUCGGUAUGUAAACUUCGAAAGAAUAGGAAGAAUAAAUGACGGUACUAUUUAUAAGGUCCGGCUAACUACGUGCCAGCAGCCGCGGUAAUACGUAGGGACCAAGCGUUGUUCGGAUUUACUGGGCGUAAAGGGCGCGUAGGCGGCAAUUCAAGUCAUCUGUGAAAUCUCCGGGCUUAACUCGGAACGGUCAGAUGAUACUGCUUUGCUAGAGUGCAGAAGGGGCAAUCGGAAUUCUUGGUGUAGCGGUGAAAUGCGUAGAUAUCAAGAGGAACACCUGAGGUGAAGACGGGUUGCUGGGCUGACACUGACGCUGAGGCGCGAAAGCCAGGGGAGCAAACGGGAUU
Molecule: ribosomal RNA, 407 nt
Filed under: uncultured bacterium
Lineage: Bacteria
Description: bacterial SSU rRNA
Rfam family: Bacterial small subunit ribosomal RNA
Source: RNAcentral